Long non-coding RNA from Ochotona princeps (American pika), 917 nucleotides. RefSeq lists it as uncharacterized. Lineage: Eukaryota; Metazoa; Chordata; Mammalia; Lagomorpha; Ochotonidae. The transcript has 3 exons. The record is from RefSeq and is a predicted model, not a curated record.
UUGUACCUGACCCAGACUGGUUGGUAUUUUGUCCGAGCGACCUGGUCCAGGGGCGUCAUAAGGAGGCAUUUCCUCACACCAUCCCUAGGUACUCUCAUGUUCUGGAGUGUAGCACUGAUAAUCUGUCGCAUGUCAUGGCUGUGACCAAGUCAGGCCAUUACCUGUCUGACUUUGCAACCUUGAGUUCUCACCAUGUUCCCAAUUUUCAUCUCUUUCCUCCUCAUUGUUAAAAUAUCUAGUAUGGUUUCAUAGUUCACUUCCCCUGUCUGCCCACCUUGAUGACUAAAUGAGUAGGCGCUUGUUCUGAGGAGGCAAAUUAGAAAAUCAGCGUAAAGAACAUAGCUACCUGAAAAGUAUUGUGUGUUCUAUAACUGGGCUUAAACUGGGAUUUGUGGCUUAAUACUCUGCUGGAUUAUGUAUGUAAUCCUUGGCACCUCCCAUUAAUAGUGGAUGAUGACUAAAUGCUUGAUGGACAUUGAAUUAAUGGGGAUGGUAGCGAAUUAACAGCUUUAAAAAAUCUCUUUAAAAUGUUAAUAUGCCUGAGAAUGGAGAAUAUAACAUACGUGUUUCCCACACCAGGUAAAUGACUAGACCAUUAGUGAUGCUUGUGAUCUGCAUUUUCUUAUUCAACAGCAUCUUUGGACGUGUGAUUACGUGCCUACUCUGAUAUGGAAAUGAACCACCAAGAGCGGAGUAUCAGCAGUCCUCGUUAUACCCGAAGCACCUGACACAAGACAAGUUCCGUAGCACCUGACACAAGACAAGUUCCGUAGCACCUGACACAAGACAAGUUCUGUAGCCUUGGCUUCGCAGCAUGGACAGCAUUCUGCUCCUCUCCCACCCCAAAGGGCUGACCUGCUCAGCUACAUCAACAGCCUCCCUUGUACCACUUGACUCUGUCAGAGGAGAAUCCUACA